GCGAACGGGUGAGUAACGCGUGAGGAACCUGCCUCAAAGAGGGGGACAACAGUUGGAAACGACUGCUAAUACCGCAUAAGCCCACGGGUCGGCAUCGACCAGAGGGAAAAGGAGCAAUCCGCUUUGAGAUGGCCUCGCGUCCGAUUAGCUAGUUGGUGAGGUAAUGGCCCACCAAGGCGACGAUCGGUAGCCGGACUGAGAGGUUGAACGGCCACAUUGGGACUGAGACACGGCCCAGACUCCUACGGGAGGCAGCAUG
This 259-nucleotide ribosomal RNA is filed under the name uncultured bacterium. Its description in RNAcentral is "partial 16S ribosomal RNA". It matches the Rfam family "Bacterial small subunit ribosomal RNA", at positions 98 to 353 of the family's 1533-position model. The record is from RNAcentral.